Long non-coding RNA from Mus musculus (house mouse), 4528 nucleotides. RefSeq annotates it as predicted gene 12506. The transcript has 5 exons. NCBI's taxonomy places the organism in Eukaryota, Metazoa, Chordata, Mammalia, Rodentia, Muridae. The record is from RefSeq and is a predicted model, not a curated record.
CGGUGGUUUUUAUUUACCUAGGACAGUAGUCCCUCCCCCCUCUUGACCAUCUAACCAGUAACCACCACAAUGAAAAAAGAUUUCACAGAUGAAUUGGAGAGCCACUAUUAUUAUGUCAUAUAAUCAAGGCAAGAUUCUGAAACGCAACUGAAAAAGAUGAAGUUUCCCAACAGCCUUCUGGAGGAUAAAAGCCAGCAGGCAACACACGGGUUCUUCUUGCGAUUGCAUCAUAAGAGGAAAUCUGUAUAUUCAUCCCAGAUUUCUAAAAGAGCUAUGAAGUUCCAGCUCACAACUCAUCCCUUUCAAGGCAGGUGCCGGGUGUGACAACAGGGUUAUGACCCUCCCUCUCAUCAGAACAGCUUAGUGCUAAGCCGGGGAAUGAGACCAACAAGGCCAGUGCUGUUGAGGGCUGCUUGAAGCUACAGGUCUUUCAGGGCCCAGAUGGCUUUCCUGGCCUACCGUGCACUCCCGCUAAAACUAGGAGCUCCGCAGCCAUGGCCUUUCCCAGAGAGACACUUAACUGGUGCCAUUUUUAUGAGGGAUAAUAAGACCGAUAUCAUUGCUGGUAUGUUGGUUCCAAGGUCCUUUCAUCUCCUACGCCUCAUCUGAUGUAGAGGACAGUCAGGAGUCGUCUAGAUGCUUAUCAUCAUGGUGUUCCCGAGGAACCACCGGAGCCGGAAUCGAUGGCUUUCAUUGAGCAGUCCUUUCAUGAGUCAAGUCCCCAUAAUUCAAGUCCCCACAGGCUGAGGAUCACGAGGCAAGACAUUACAUAUCCCAGGCUGGUCUCAAGCUUGUUGCAUGGCUGAAGAGGACCUUGACUUUCGGAUCUGCAAACUUCCACUUCUUAAGUGCUAGGAUUAUAGGAUCUCACUCUGUAGCCCAGCAUGCUUUUGAAUCUGGGAUGUUUUCUCUGCCCCAGUCUCCCAUAUGAAGAAGGCAGCCCUGAGACCUCCUCACAUUUAACAUUUUUACAACUGGAGGAGAGAGUGAUGGAGGAGUCUCCAGGACAUGAUGGCCAGACGCCCCACAUCUAGAAUAGCAGCCUGCAAAGGAGGUAAACAUGUCCUCAUCAGAAUAGAGGAUACUGCUUCUCCGGGAUGGAUCUCUCCUUCUCUCGGGCCUGCAAGCCAAGAUAUAGUUUCCACUGGAGGCAGCAUCCCAUCAGCCUCACAUUGGACGAGCCGACAGAGUUCUUUUGAGGCUACUGGUGUUCAACCACACAGCUAGACUUAGUCCAUAGAUAUACUUGGACUUGGAAACAUUGUCACCCUCUUGCAUGGAUCAAGCUGUUUCUGCACUUUGGCCUUCUAGCCACCUGCCCCUGUUAACUUCAGAUAAACCUUGAGAGCAUCCUGUAGGACACGUGACCUCACUGAAGGAGAACCAGAGCCCAAAGGAGAAGGGCUGGUGUUGGAAGGCAGUGCUAUAGGGACAAGGCAGUAAGGAACUGAGAAGAGGGCACACACAUCGGCCUAAAAUCACUCGGCCUAAAUUCUGGUUAUUAAGAAUUGGAUCCAAUUCAGCGAUACACACUAUCUAUAUUCCUAACCAGUAUUAGUAGCUGGAGAAGCUCCAUUUCUCAUCUUCACCCCCCACCCCCAUCUUCUGGUCAGAAGCAGUCGGGACUGGGAUUGGAGGUGAUGUAAUGUCAGGGGUUCAGGCUUCUUGUGCUGUGUGGCUCUUCUCAAGGUCACCUCACUGUCCAAGAUGCUUGCUUGAGGUCCAGCCUCAAGCCACAUCCUAGGAGGCAGGAAAAGAGAAAGGCAGAAGCAAGGGAGGGCACACUUGGAACACAUUUCCUAGAGUUCUUUACGCCUGUUCUAAAUACAUCCCGUUGCUUAGAACUUAGUGGCAUGGCUAGAUAUGGCAGCAAGAAAGGCUGUAAUCUACUCUGGAUGGCAGUAAAUUCAGUCAGUAUAGGGGGUUCCUGAGAGGAGGGAAGUCCCGGAAUGGAGGGCGAUUUGUAUAUGUGAACUCUUUCCUCUGUCCCACUUUAGAGUCACAGGGCCAGGUCCUACUUUUAAUUUAAUUUUGUCUUUUGCAUUUUUCUUUUCUUUUGAGACAACAUUUUGCUAUGUGGCUCAAGCUGCCCCUCAAACUCACGAUCCUCCUGCCUCAGACUCCUGCCUACUGGUAUUACCAGCCUCAAUUCAAGUCUGUGUGUUUUGUGUCUUUCAUUCAGUGCUGAAGCGAGAGCUCAGGACCUCACACACACCAGGGAAGUAUUCUACCGUUGAGCUGUGUGCUCAGUCCCCAGUUUAAAGAACUCUGAAAGUGAGUGGCUUGCUCAAGUCAGAGUUUGUAAUUAGAGGAGUUGGAAUUUGAACUCACAUUUGUCUGUCAUAUCAAACCUGAGGGGUUCACAUCAUGUGCUUUAAACAAUGACUAGUUUGUUUUAAUUACAUAAAAUAUUAGGCUUUGGCUCAGUGAGACGGCUCAUCAGGUAGAAACACUUACCACCAAGCUGGGUGACCUGAGUUUAUCCUUGGAACCUACAUAGUGGAAGAAGAGAACCAACUCCUGCAAACUGACUUCCACAUGCUCUGUAUUAUAUGUGAGACCCAACAUACACAUAUAUAUUCACACACACACACACACACACACACACACACACACACACACACACACACACUCACACACACAUACACUCACACAUACACACAUACUACACACACACACACAACUGUAACAAAAAUAGGCUUUAUGCAUGCACAUAAGAUACUUUGAUAAUAUUCUCUCUACUGCAUCAAUCCCCUUUUCUCCCCCUACUUCCUUCCUCUGGUCUAGUUCCUGUUCCCCAAAUAGCCCCCCUUUUAUUUAAUAAAGACCUGCCUUUUGACUGAAGUGUGUUUUCCUGUAUCUUCUGGUAUGCAAGAAGUGUUUGUGCUUAGAGAAUACCAGAUGAUACCAUUCACAUGCACUUGACCAUUGGGCAGGUGUGUGCACAAGUGUGCCUGCCAUCUGUCUGCGUGCCAGGCCUCCAGUUACUCGGUUUUCUGUGCAUGUCCUAUGUUCCCACAGCAGAGCAAAUGCUGCCUACAUUGUGUCAGGUGAAUAAACUGAAGAAUGAAGACUAGACCAAGAUCAUUUGUCACUCUGGGCUUUCUUAAGAGUCUUCUAUGUCCCUAGAGUCAGGCCUUUCUGUAUGUCCUAGACAUACCAGCUGCAGCAAGCAGGCCCUGCUGUGUAUCUGCUCUCAUCCAGGUAACCUGCUUGACUGUAGGAAUCCAAGAGCAGAAGAUCCUGUUAAGUUUUAAAGAGUGCACACACUACUGCUGUCUGCACAUAACGAUUCAUAAUCCUCAUAACCUUUGAUGUGAGUUUUGUGGGAGAUGAUAUUCCCAUUUUAGAGAGGGGAGAUUGACCUAGUUAAUAAACAGUGGUGCCAGGAAGCUGGCUUGGCCUGCUAGACUGCAGGGUUUUUUGGUUUUUUUUGUUUUUGUUUUUGUUUUUUGUUUUUUGUUUUUUUUUUUAACCUGGGCAUCAUUCAUCCAUUUUUUGUUCAGUCCUUUCAGAGGGGACAAGGACAGGAGCAAUUGCUUAGCAUUAAGGAAGAGUCAGGAGCUGGGUGAAGGACAGUUAGAAACUUGGUUUGAUGGGGUUACAUGUUACCCAGGUAUUCCCUUUUAUCUUCCUGACCCCCAGUAUUGGUGCACCCAUGUCCCCACUCCCCCGACCCCCAGGCUUCUGUUCAUGUUUCUCUUGAAGACUAGGUCACCAUCUCAUGGAAAUUCUUGGUGCCUUACUCCAGGUGCUUAGGCCUUCCAUCCCUAACCACCUUGGCUAUGGGCCACAUGAAGAGGAUGUUCCCAGGCCCAGAAAGGCCAAAUGAUACUCAGCCUGGCUUGGAGGGAGUGUCAGGGCUCACCGGGUUAACCAUGCCCCUGACUUCUUGGUCCUACAGCUCUCUAGGGCUAUGAACCUUCUAGCUCACUUCAGUAUGCACCCCAGAGGCAGCCAUUUGACUUGAGGCUGCUCUUUGUGUUGCCGAGGGUUUUUAUGUUAUGUUUUUUAUUACUGCUGACCAUGACAAUCCCAGGAGGAUGACCCACAGUGACAGCAAACUUCACAGCUCAGAGGACGGAGACCUUCCAGAGAGGGAGGGGCCCCAGGUCUCCUCUGGGGCCACUUAUCUAAUCACACGGUUUCUGGCACUACUCCAAGCCAGACCCCUUUCAUGGACCCAUGCUCCAUGCCAGGCCCCAUGCUCCCUACUCCCUGCUCAGGCCCAAUCAUGCUGGCUUCCUGUGCCUCUCUGGAUCCUGAUACCACCCAGAGCCUUUGCUUCAGGGAAUCAGACUCUCCCAUAGCUCCAUGACUGAGGUUUCUGGCCAUUCAGACCUCAGCUUAAUGUCCUCUCUACCAUACCAUGGGUCUUUUGCAUAUAUGUUUAAAAGUGGUACUUCCCCUACCCUUGAAAGCUGUGAACAUGUGGAGGGAGGAAAGGAGCUUAGAAUUGUAGAUAGAACAGGUCUGGGUGAUGUUUUACCUUCCUACCCACCCCAACCCCCAUUCCUUCCUUCCUCUA